Molecule: ribosomal RNA, 444 nt
Filed under: uncultured bacterium
Lineage: Bacteria
Description: partial 16S ribosomal RNA
Rfam family: Bacterial small subunit ribosomal RNA
Source: RNAcentral
CCUACGGGGGGCAGCAGUGAGGAAUAUUGGUCAAUGGGCGCGAGCCUGAACCAGCCAAGUAGCGUGAAGGAUGACUGCCCUACGGGUUGUAAACUUCUUUUAUAAAGGAAGAAAAAAAUGACGGUACUUUAUAAGUAAGCCCCGGCAAACUAUGUGCCAGCAGCCGCGGUGAUACAUAGGGGGCAAGCGUUGUCCGGAAUGACUGGGUGUAAAGGGUGUGUAGGUGGCUUAUUAAGUUAGAGGUGAAAGCCCGAAGCUCAACUUCGGAACUGCCUUUAAAACUGGUUGGCUUGAGUGUGGGAGAGGUUAGUGGAACUCCUAGUGUAGCGGUGGAAUGCGUAGAUAUUAGGAAGAACAUCAGAGGCGAAGGCGACUAACUGGAACAUUACUGACACUGAAACACGAAAGCGUGGGGAGCAAACAGGAUUAGAUACCCCAGUAGUC